GCCGAUGUAGCAUAGCUGGUGGUGCGAUACCUUGGUAAGGUAUAGGUCGAGGGUUCGAAUCCCUCCAUCGGCU
Molecule: transfer RNA, 73 nt
Filed under: Methanobacteriota archaeon
Lineage: Archaea; Methanobacteriati; Methanobacteriota
Description: Euryarchaeota archaeon tRNA-Thr
Rfam family: tRNA
About the family: Transfer RNA (tRNA) molecules are approximately 80 nucleotides in length.
Source: RNAcentral